GGUCAGGUCGCCAAGUUGGUAAGGCGUCGGUCUGCAAAACCGACUAGCGUGGGUUCAAGUCCCACUCUGACCU
Molecule: transfer RNA, 73 nt
Filed under: Planktothrix sp. FACHB-1355
Lineage: Bacteria; Bacillati; Cyanobacteriota; Cyanophyceae; Oscillatoriales; Microcoleaceae
Also listed under: 1 other name
Description: tRNA-Cys
Rfam family: tRNA
About the family: Transfer RNA (tRNA) molecules are approximately 80 nucleotides in length. Their secondary structure includes four short double-helical elements and three loops (D, anti-codon, and T loops). Further hydrogen bonds mediate the characteristic L-shaped molecular structure. tRNAs have two regions of fundamental functional importance: the anti-codon, which is responsible for specific mRNA codon recognition, and the 3' end, to which the tRNAs corresponding amino acid is attached (by aminoacyl-tRNA synthetases). tRNAs cope with the degeneracy of the genetic code in two manners: having more than one tRNA (with a specific anti-codon) for a particular amino acid; and 'wobble' base-pairing, i.e. permitting non-standard base-pairing at the 3rd anti-codon position.
Source: RNAcentral